This 477-nucleotide ribosomal RNA is filed under the name uncultured bacterium. RNAcentral describes it as "bacterial SSU rRNA". It matches the Rfam family "Bacterial small subunit ribosomal RNA", at positions 30 to 498 of the family's 1533-position model. The record is from RNAcentral.
AUUGAACGCUGGCGGCAUGCUUUACACAUGCAAGUCGAACGGUAACAGGGAGCUUGCUCCGCUGACGAGUGGCGGACGGGUGAGUAACGCGUGGGAAUCUACCCAGUAGUGGGGGAUAGCCAGGAGAAAUCCUGAUUAAUACCGCAUACGAUCUACGGAUGAAAGGUGGCCACUCCUUGGAAGCUAUCGCUAUUGGAUGAGCCCGCGUUAGAUUAGCUAGUUGGUGGGGUAAAGGCCUACCAAGGCGACGAUCUAUAGCUGGUCUGAGAGGAUGAUCAGCCACAUCGGGACUGAGACACGGCCCGGACUCCUACGGGAGGCAGCAGUGGGGAAUAUUGGACAAUGGGCGCAAGCCUGAUCCAGCAAUGCCGCGUGUGUGAAGAAGGCCUUAGGGUUGUAAAGCUCUUUCAGGUGGAAAGAAAUAGCGCUGUUUAAUAGAUGGCGUUGAUGACGGUACCACCAGAAGAAGCACCGGCU